RNAcentral lists this long non-coding RNA (1230 nucleotides) under Marmota monax (woodchuck). Lineage: Eukaryota; Metazoa; Chordata; Mammalia; Rodentia; Sciuridae. The record is from RNAcentral.
UGCAGUCAGGCCUGGCGCAGGCGUGGAGCAGGGCUCCCCACCCGGCCCGGGCGGUCCAAAACAGCCCAGUGGCCUUGGCACGCGGUGUGGGUGGGGACACGCCCCGUGGAUUCCCCGUCCCCACCCCGACAGCCAAGUGGAAGCAAUUGCCCUUGGAAGCCCGUGGGGAAAGCGGCUGAUUUCACUUUUGGAAAAACGCUGGAGCAGGAGCAACUCUCAGCCAGCGUUACAAACCCGGUGACCUGCCAUUGGAGGCCGUGCGAGGGCGGCCGGGGCGGCCACGUCUGCCGGGGAGAGAAACUUGCCGCGGAGUGGGCAGAGGGAAGCAAUGCAAAAUGUCAGAUAGGAGAAAGAGGGGGCGGCGGAGGAGGAAAGGCGCUAGACCGCAGAGAGGGGAGGACAGGAGAUUGCACCGGCUGCCUCGAGACGCGGGUCAGAGGAGGAGAGAGGUGGGUGCGUGGCCGGCAGCUGGCGCAGAACGCCUGGGCUCCGCCAGGCACUGGACCUUUUUUUCUCGCUGUGGUCCAGCGCCCCUAGUCCCAGAGCAGGCUUGUGUCACGUGGGAAGCGGACGGUGCCUGGGGCGCGCACGGGGAGGGGAGGGAAGGAGCCAAAGAACCCCGUGCCCGCUCGGUGUUGGGCGAGCUGCACACCUGGCUUCGGACUCACCAUCUGCUCCCAGCUACCGCCUCUGGGGCUGGAGAAAGAUGAAUGCGGUGCGGGAGGGAGUGGAUGGCUUCGCUCUGUACCCGCGGUGAGCUCAACGUUUAUAAAGCUCCUACUGUGUGCUGAGCGCAGCCCCGCUCCCCUCCAGCGAUGGGCCCUUUACUGUUCUGCUAUCCUGCAAGCUAGAAAAGAAUCCUGUGUGCAUUGUAAAAGAAAUUCACAUUUUGAACCUUAAUACAUAAGCAAGCCGCCAGGCCAAGGUGGGCGAUUGAGACAGUGUGGAGUCUGGAAAAUUAAUCUGUGGACUUUUGUGAUUUUCUUCUCUGAUCCCCCAAGUACAAGACUCCCCUCACUUCCUUUCCCACAUUCUCACAACCCACAGAUCAAAAUUUAAAACGUUAAAAAUAAUUUAUUGGCUUUAGCUCUCAAGGCCAAUAACUAAAGGCUAGUCUUUUCCUCAAACUUAACUAAUUUUAUAAAUGUCAGACCCAAAAUACCAUCUGGAUAUAAUGCCUACUUGUAAUCCUGAAAUAAAAUUUGGAGGUGAUAUAAUCUAUGCAUAUAU